RNAcentral lists this ribosomal RNA (1410 nucleotides) under uncultured bacterium. RNAcentral's name for it is "bacterial SSU rRNA". It matches the Rfam family "Bacterial small subunit ribosomal RNA". The record is from RNAcentral.
AGAGUUUGAUCCUGGCUCAGGACGAACGCUGGCGGCGUGCCUAACACAUGCAAGUCGAACGGAGUAAAACGCUGAAUUGAUGUAAGCUUGCUUAUGGAUUUUCUUGUUUUACUUAGUGGCGGACGGGUGAGUAACGCGUGAGUAACCUGCCUUACAGAGGGGGACGACAGUUGGAAACGACUGCUAAUACCGCAUAAUAUAGCGAGAGGGCAUCCUCUUGUUAUCAAAGGAGCAAUCCGCUGUAAGAUGGACUCGCGUCCAAUUAGAUAGUUGGUGGGGUAACGGCCCACCAAGUCGACGAUUGGUAGCCGGACUGAGAGGUUGAACGGCCACAUUGGGACUGAGACACGGCCCAGACUCUUACGGGAGGCAGCAGUGGGGGAUAUUGCACAAUGGGGGAAACCCUGAUGCAGCAACGCCGCGUGAGGGAAGAAGGUUUUCGGAUUGUAAACCUCUGUUUUUAGUGAAGAAACAAAUGACGGUAGCUAAAGAGGAAGCCACGGCUAACUACGUGCCAGCAGCCGCGGUAAUACGUAGGGGGCAAGCGUUAUCCGGAUUUACUGGGUGUAAAGGGAGCGUAGACGGUUAAGUAAGUCUGAAGUGAAAGCCCGGGGCUCAACCCCGGGACUGCUUUGGAAACUAUUUAACUGGAGUGCAGGAGAGGUAAGUGGAAUUCCUAGUGUAGCGGUGAAAUGCGUAGAUAUUAGGAGGAACACCAGUGGCGAAGGCGGCUUACUGGACUGUAACUGACGUUGAGGCUCGAAAGCGUGGGGAGCAAACAGGAUUAGAUACCCUGGUAGUCCACGCCGUAAACGAUGAUUACUAGGUGUCGGGGGGUUAUGACCCUUUCGGUGCCGCAGCAAACGCAAUAAGUUAAUCCCCCUGGGGAGUACGUUUGCCAAGAAUGAAACUUCAAAGGAAUUGACGGGGACCCGCACAAGCGGUGGAGCAUGUGGUUUAAUUCGAAGCAACGCGAAGAACCUUACCAAAUCUUGACAUCCCAAUGACCGACUAUAUAAUGUAGUUUCUCUUCGGAGCAUUGGUGACAGGUGGUGCAUGGUUGUCGUCAGCUCGUGUCGUGAGAUGUUGGGUUAAGUCCCGCAACGAGCGCAACCCUUGUCUUUAGUAGCCAGCGGCUAGGCCGGGCACUCUAGAGAGACUGCCAGGGAUAACCUGGAGGAAGGUGGGGAUGACGUCAAAUCAUCAUGCCCCUUAUGAUUUGGGCUACACACGUGCUACAAUGGCGUAAACAAAGGGAAGCGACCCCGCGAGGGUGAGCAAAUCUCAAAAAUAACGUCUCAGUUCGGAUUGUAGUCUGCAACUCGACUACAUGAAGCUGGAAUCGCUAGUAAUCGCGAAUCAGAAUGUCGCGGUGAAUACGUUCCCGGGUCUUGUACACACCGCCCGUCA